UAUCUACCCAUCUAUUUACUAUCUACCUAUCUAUUUACUAUCUAUUUUUUUCUAUUUGUUUUUUUUGUUUUUCAGAUAUGUUCCAUACUAAACGAAAUAAGCAAAACCAUCCGAGAAAUACAAAAUGCGAAAAACUUUCUAUCGUUGCACUUUUUUCUUUUAAAGGAUGAGGAUGAUGCAGUAAGUAUACACAUACGUCCAUACAUACGUCCAUUCAUACGUCCAUUCAUACGUCCAUUCAUACGUCCAUUCAUACGUCCAUACAUAUGCGAACAUACUUAUUGUGCAUUCCUUUCCUUACUCUUGUAUAGCUUUUUUCAGUCAUGCACAUAAUCGAUUUUUUUAAAAGCAAGAAUAAAUUGGUAGAAACGUUACAAAAUAUAAAAGGUAAAAUAUCAUAAAAAAAAAAAAAAAAAAAACAUACUAUUUUUUUUUCCUACAUACCUGUAUACACUACUGUAUAAUGCAACAAGCAGUCUAUUAAUGUUUUAUUUUUAUUUUUUUAUUUUUAUUUUUAUUUUUUUUUUAUUUUUCCCACCACCGAAUAGACAAAAUUUAUGAAGAAUGUAUUAACGAUAUCAUUAGAAAGAAAAUUGACAACUAUAUUUUAUUUUGCAAACAAAAAAAACAAAAAUAUGAAGUUAAAAAUGUUUUAAAGUUUUUGAAUAUAAACAACUUAACAGAUGAUUUAUAUUUUAAUUAUAAUUAUAACGACUUAAUAAAAGUUUUCAAAAAAAAAGUGGAAGAGAUAAAGAAUGAUAAAAUGGGUACUUCUAUUAUUUCUAGUUCCUUAUUGUCAAGUAACAUGGAUACAUCACUUUUUAACAAAAUGGAAGAAUCGAUGGAUGUUAAUAAAAAUGAUUAUACAGGUACUAAUACUGGAGAUGGUACUAUUAUUGGCUCAGAUGCUAAUACCAGUGCUGGUGCCGAUAUCGAUGCUGACGAAAUAGACAUAGAUAAUAAUGACAAUUUAAAAGAAUUAAAAAAAACAUAUAAAGAGUUACAAAAUUUCAAUGAAUAUAUUAUUCAAUUUAUUGAAUAUGAACCAAAAUUAUAUUAUUUUAAUGAUAAUAAUAAUAAUGAUAAUAAUGAUACUUAUAUAAAAAGUAACACAGAUAUAAAAUAUGAGAAAAAUAUAAUCGAACAACAAGAAAAAGAACAAAAACAAAAGAAAAUGUAUAAUGAAGAAGUUAUAGCUAUGCGAAAGGAUAUUGAUAAAUAUAUAGAAAAAUAUAAAAGUAAACAUUCAAAUUUAGACGAACUUAAAAAUGAAUUUAUAGAUCAAGCAGAUAAGAAUUUUAAUAAAUUUUUGAAUAGUUUUUCACUUAGUGAAAAUAUAAAUGAGCAAAGAGAUAAAAAUGAAAUAAAUAUAACAAAUAAAUUAAACAAAAUAGACAAUAAUACGGUUACACAAAAAGAAGAGAAAAAUAUAAUGUCACAUUCUAAUGAAAUAAACAAAUUCCAAUUAAAAAAAUUAAAUACAAGUGAAGAAGAUUUAGAAAUAACUAGUGAUAUAAUUUAUGAACGGUUAAGAAAAAAAUUGUUAUAUUUUAUUCAAAAGAUGGAGUAUAUAAAAUUUAAGUACCAAAAUGACAUAAUAAAUGAAAUGUACCCAUUAAAUAAAAGUGAAAAAACAGUUUUAGACUUGUUAAAAUAUGGGUAUAAAACUGUUGUUUCACCAGAUGUUGAUAACUCCAUAUUCCAAAAAUAUAAUGAAAACGAUCGUGAUGCUGAUCAUGGUACUGGUCAUGGCACUGAUCAUGGCACUGAUCAUGGUACUGGUCAUGGCACUGAUCAUGGCACUGAUCAUGGCACUGAUCAUGGUACUGAUCGCUAUGAGCACAUGCACGAAAAAAAUAAAAUAACAAACGUUUCUAGUUAUACCAGAAAAAAAUAUUUUGACUUCAAGUGUCUAAAGUGUGAUUAUCACAUUUUUAAUUCAGGUGAUGAUUUGUAUGAACAGAUGAAGGAAUGUCCCCAGUGUAAAAGUCAAAUUUCACGUGACUAGUUUGUCCUGCUUAUUUACUCCUUUCCUUACAUUUGCCCUUUUUUGCUUCGUUUUUUUUUUUUUACUUCGUUUUUUUUUUUUUGCUUCGUUUUUUUUUUUUUGCUUCGUUUUUUUUUUUUUACUUCGUUUUUUUUUUUUUUGUUUCGUUUUUUUUUUUUUGUUUCGCUUUUUUUUUUUUUUUGUUUCGCUUUUUUUUUGGGCACAAUUCUUAUUUAAUUUACAAUUUCACUUUUGAAUAACAAAAACUGAAUGUCGUCAUAAAUGGCGAACGUACCAGAUACAUGUAUACGUGUACAUCCCAACCAUCCAAUAAAUCCAUAAAAACAACUUACCCGACUUGUUAA
This 2352-nucleotide long non-coding RNA is filed under the name Piliocolobus tephrosceles (Ugandan red Colobus). Its description in RNAcentral is "lncRNA (ENSPTEG00000018429.1)". Lineage: Eukaryota; Metazoa; Chordata; Mammalia; Primates; Cercopithecidae. The record is from RNAcentral.